Seriola aureovittata is the source of this 2973-nucleotide RNA transcript. It is a transcript of the gene named calmodulin-lysine N-methyltransferase, with no coding region annotated. The record is from RefSeq and is a predicted model, not a curated record. The transcript has 13 exons. Lineage: Eukaryota; Metazoa; Chordata; Actinopteri; Carangiformes; Carangidae.
UAGCAUGCAUCCAUUGUGGGUGUAACAGGUGAUUACAGCCAAGCAAUAUCUGUGAUCAUUUUUGCGUUGGUGUAGUUUAAGGAAAAAGCCCUAUUUUUGUAUUGCCACGUUGCUACCGAUAACUGUGACAGCUCUGCAGCCAGAACAUUUGUUUAAAAUUUUAUUUCCGCUCGUAACUUCGAAGAUAAAAUGGAGAGGGACUCCACCGGUGCUGAAGAAAAGACUGAGCCGGCUUCGCCUUUGAGGAAAGAUAUUAAUGACGACACCUGUGCAGCUGAUUCCCACACCUCCCAGACUGAGACCUGUGGUCCUACUGAUGUCGCCCGAGCCAGGUGGACUCUACUACGACAGGUGUUGCGUCAGAAGCAGGUGGACAAUCCAGAGGUCAAACAGGCGUCUGUUCGAAGGUUCGCCUCGUUCGACCUCUUCAGCAGGAAAAGGCUUGUGACACAAGACCCCAGUGAUACCUCAGAUGACCAGUGGGUGGAGUACAGAAGUGUCUACUUUCCAGAGUACAGUGCCUUACUCAGGGACAGCCUGGGGCCUCUUAGAGUUAAUGAAGUGCUCAACAGUUUUGACAACACUGGUAAUGUCUGUGUGUGGCCGUCUGAAGAGGUGAUGGCUCAUUACUGCCUGCAGAAACGUCACAUGUUCAAGGGUGCAGUGUGUGAGUUAGGGGGAGGUAUGACUUGUCUUGCGGGGCUCAUGGUUGCCAUUUGUGCUGACGUGAAGGAAGUUCUGCUAUCAGAUGGGAACGAGAAGUCCAUUCAGAAUGUACGAGGGCUGGUCGAGAGAAACAGGCGAGCUGGAAAGUUUGGGUCAGCACAUGUAUCUGCCAGGGUGGUGAGGUGGGACUGUGAGCCUGACAUUUCGGCACUAGAGGGUCACUUUGACAUUGUCAUGUGUGCAGACUGUUUGUUUGUCGACCAGUACAGAGCCAGCCUGGUUGAUGCUAUAAGGAGAUUACUGCAACCUGACGGCAUGGCGUUGGUGUUCGCUCCACUGCGAGGCGAAACUCUGAGACUGUUUUGUCAACUGGCCCAGCGGGCUGGACUCUGCGUCUCUCAACACCAGCAGUAUGACGCUCAGGUCUGGGAUGUUCACUUAAAGAUGCAGAGAGAGGGAAAAGAAGCGUACGACGAGAACAUCCACUAUCCUCUCCUCAUCACCCUGACCAAAGGACCUCAACCUGUCAGCCACUCUCAGUAAACCAAAACAAAGUUAAGUAGUUCAGAGGACACUUCAUAGGUGGCUGCCUGUUUCGCCAUGACCUGCAAUUCAACAUAGAAAAUAAAGCCAUCGAGUAUGAGUUGACGUGGCAGAGUGGGAGCUACCACCACCAACCCCCCCACCCCGUCGCACCCACGUGCACACAAACACACACCACAAUCACAGUCCUCCUCGUACACACACCUGAUGCUGGCCUUGACAACAAUAAUGUUUUCCAUUACAGGAGAUGGAAUUGAGAAAUAUGUGGAGGUGGAAUUCUGUGGUAUUAAUAUAGUCACCUGGAGCUGGGUGGAAUAGGAUACUGUCUAUACAGAGUGGGAAACGUGUGGCUUUUACCCUGUUUAUUACAGCGUAUCUUUUAAAGGAACAAGCUUUUGUCACUUAUGGAUGUGUUUCACACACGUAAACACUCAAAAUCUGUUCUGUGUUGACUCCCACUUGUUCUCUCGGAGGCUUUCCUGGCUCUAUAGGCUGCUUGUAUUUAUCCUCAUUUACCUGUUCAGCCCUUCCAUCUCUAAUACCCAUUAAACCUCUCCAUUCGCAUGUGCAGGAGGCUGAGUUGACUGACUGACUUAUUAGCUGACUGACUGGAGCGAGCUGAGGUCAGUCUGGAGGCUGGCAAUAUACACACACACACACGCUAUUAUAUAUGCACAUUCACUGGGUACAGUGAUGCUUACACACAAGCUUAUAGUAGGCUGUUAAUUGAAGGGGCUGUGCUGUUGACGAAAGCCCUCAACUUAUCGCUGAUUAGGUCAGGCUUUUGGAAGUAAGAGACAAGGAGCGAGAGAGAGAGAGAAAGGAAACAGACUGCGAGACAUAUAGAACGACACAAACGGUUUGUGUUGGUUGAGAGUCUCUCCUGUAAAUGUUGACAGUCUCUUGUGGCAGUAUUUACCCUACUUUUAAUGGUAGAGGGCCGACAUUAGCCACUGUAGGAGCCGGGCUGAAUUAACACCUGCCUCUCUGCAUACAAGCAGCUGCUCUCUGUGCUUUUGUCUGCCUGUGACUUUGUCAGUCAGUUAAUCAGUGAGGCCAUCAAUCAGCCUGUGAAACAGUGAGUUUUUCAGGGAGCCACCAAAUCUUUACGUUUAAUGAAUGAGACAACCAGUCAGUAAAUUCAGCAACCAACCAAGCAGCCAGUUGUAUUGCUCGUGUGAUUAUUUUGUACGUAAUUAUUUGAUACAACAAUUAAACCAGGCUCCCUGUUGAUAUCCAACUAAUAUUUUAAAUGAGAAAAUUAACAUGUAUAUUUUUCAAGAUUAUUUACAAAUUAAAAUAAAAAAGUAAUUCCAUGCAUAAUUUGCCCCCUUGAUUCAUUAAAGACCCCCUCUAGGCAGGUAUUAAGACAUGUAGUAUAAAAAUACUCUGCUUGGAAUGUCUGAUGUUUUUUUUUUUCCACAAAACAUUUGUUUAGUCUGAGUCUUCAUACAUACACCUUACGUCUACAUCUGCAUUACACCUUCUCUCUACCUACCUCACUGAAAGACCCUGAAUCAAUGAAUAUGUAAAUAUUUGUUAUUUCUAAGGUUUAGCUGCUGGACACGAGAGAUCUCUGAGAUUUCAGGUGAGCAGCAGCAGAAUGUGAAAACAGCCUUCUGGUGUCAAACUCACCACAGCAUACAGCACAUCACGCUGCAGAGUGAAGGCCAAGCAGCCAGGUGAAGCAACAAUGAGCAGAGCACAUUUUUGACUGUAUGGAAGCUUUAACCUUUAAGCUGCAAUCUUGGAUUCAAAUGUAAA